Molecule: ribosomal RNA, 497 nt
Filed under: uncultured bacterium
Lineage: Bacteria
Description: partial 16S ribosomal RNA
Rfam family: Bacterial small subunit ribosomal RNA
Source: RNAcentral
GAUGAACGCUGGCGGCGUGCCUAAUACAUGCAAGUCGAGCGAACGGACGAGAAGCUUGCUUCUCUGACGUUAGCGGCGGACGGGUGAGUAACACGUGGAUAACCUACCUAUAAGACUGGGAUAACUUCGGGAAACCGGAGCUAAUACCGGAUAAUAUUUUGAACCGCAUGGUUCAAUAGUGAAAGACGGUCUUGCUGUCACUUAUAGAUGGAUCCGCGCUGCAUUAGCUAGUUGGUAAGGUAACGGCUUACCAAGGCAACGAUGCGUAGCCGACCUGAGAGGGGGAUCGGCGAAACUGGAACUGAGACACGGUCCAGACUACGACGGGAGGCAGCAGUAGGGAAUCUUCCGCAAUGGGCGAAAGCGUGACGGAGCAACGCCGCGUGAGUGAUGAAGGUCUUAGGAUCGUAAAACUCUGUUAUUAGGGAAGAACAAAUGUGUAAGUAACUAUGAACGUCUUGACGGUACCUAAUCAGAAAGCCACGGCUAAAUACGUG